GUCUGGAGUCUGUCUGAAACUGAUAAAAAUGGUGAUGGAGUUUUUCAAGAGUCUCGCUCCUAUUUAUAAGAAAGCUAAAGGGAGACAGAGCGGAAUUUUACAAUCGUCCAAUCCUGUAGUCAUUUCGCAUUAUUAUUAUAUUGUAGCGCAUUUCAAAGUUUAUUCCAUUUUUUCACCAGACAGUUCAUUUAUUCACAGGCGGGAGAAACAUCAUUCUGACGGCCUCUUGGAACCGUCACUUACUCAGAUCCACUAAUAGAUGCCUGUGUUCUGGAGCUGUGCUUUUGUGCGGACGGGGGGAUUCAUCUCGGCUCUUGCAAGUUUAAAGAAAUGGAAUCGUGCUCCGUGUUAUAUGGUAAGUUAUUAAACCAGUAUAGCAAACCAGCAAACGAACUGUACCCUCCACACAGCACAGGCUUUACAGACUCAUCUGGAAAAGUCCUUUCUGGUAGAAAGAGAAUAGAAAAGGAAGUUAAUUAUUUCCACCCGAACCUAAAAUGCCUCUGUCUCUCUCUACAAAGAUUGGCUUGUGAUUUGCAUGAGGAUUUUGAGGAGCUUUUCAGUAUGUUUGCCAUGUCUGUCCUGGCUGUCUGUUUAAACAGGCCCCGAGUAAUGAAGAAGAGAAGAUGGAAGGAAGGAAGGAGGGAGGGAGAAAAAGAGGAGGUGUGCUAAAUCCUGGUUUCCCUCCUCAGCCCUUUUGGGAUAUGAAGGACCCAGAUGGUGUAGGGGUGUGAAACCAGCAUUGUGUGUGUGUGUGCGUACAUAUUAAAGUGUGUCUGUCUGUUUGUCAGUUUCUCUGUCUGUCUGUCCAUCUGUAAUUUCCUUCCAAAAUCAGGGGCGUCCUUAGUGAAGGGACCCUGCCCUAAUGUCAGCCCUGUGAGGGGAAGCUUGUCUGUCUGUCUGAAUGGAAACAAAAGACAGUGGACACAACUAACCCCCCAAAAUCAUCUUUGUCCCCGUUGCCCUCUGCCGCCCAGAGCCUGACACCCAGCACUAGGGGCUUUGAUUAGCCAAGUGGAGACGCUGGGGAGUCACAAUACCCUCUGCCCUGAUUAGCCUGCACUUGGCCACUGCUGACCCCUCCUUCCAAAGAGAAUCAUGUGAAUGGGCUGGAGAUACUGAAACAAGGCAUUUUGGAAGGAGCAUCAUGCACCUUGACCUGUCUAGACACUGCUGGUGUAACAAAUAGAUAAUGUGGCCUUUUCAUGUCACUGAUGUUCUGCACUCUCUUUUAAGUUUGAGGCAACUAUAAGGCCAAUAGGUUAACUGUUUUUCUGAUCUAGUUUUAUUAUUUUUUUACUUUUAAUAAUGAAAUCAGUCCUAGUUAUUUUUUACAUAUUUAUGUUACAUAUAGGAAAAGUUUUCCAGUUUCCGCCAUUCUGAGACUCCACAUUUUCUGUAAGUAUUUCUUCUUAACCAAAUUGAUGUAACUACUCAAGUUUUGUUUUCGGUUGCCUUAAAUUGCUUGGCUGUUUUUUGAAAAAAAAAAUUCUGGUGUCGUUUUAAAUUGUGUUUAUUUAUUGUAUGAAAAAUUCUUGUUAGUCAUAAGGCAUAUGAUGUACAUUAACAACCAUGUCACAUACCAUGUUAAUCUAGUUUUUACAGAUCACAGUAGAUACAUAAAUGUUUAUCGUUUUUUGGGUUUUAUAUCUAAUUGUGCACAGGAAAUUCUAUUUUUUCAUACAAAUUAACCACUAAACCAUAAAAAUACUUUCAAUACGUAAUGUGAAAGUUACUGAAUCUUAAAACUACAUCAUUGUCCUUUUUUAUAUAAUGCUGAGUCAAGAUCUCUGGUCAAAUCUGAUGAUUGUGUCGUUUGGGAGUUAGACACUCAAAACAUGAUGACAGGUGAAAUAUUUGGUCAACGGAAUAUUACGAUUUCCCAAUAUUUCUGAAAUCCUGGUGUGAAUGUUAUGUUUAGACAGUGAUUUUUCCUUUCAUUAUACAUGGCUGUAGGCAUAGUUUUCUCACUGUAACUGCAGGAAGUGCCGCUGUUGUUGUUCCUGUGUGGGUGGGUGCCCGCACCGCUACUGCGGCUUUGCCAGUUCCCUCCAUUGUCAUGCAGCAAUAUGCCCAACAGACCCUGAAUCUGUAAUGGUUGAGUGUUCUGUCAGUAAUAAUAGUGUCUAGAUUGGUUGAAUCUGACCCUGGAACAGCCCUAGAAGAACUCCUUUAUAGAGGUGAAUUUUAGAAGAGACACGGUGGUGGGGGUUGUCAUGGCGUGCUCUGUGUGGCUCCUUCUGCCCCGCCCUCUAACCAGCCACUCGAAGCCAAGAAAAUGGCAGCUGCAGUGAGCUGCCAAAUGAACACCGAUUCUCCACCCACCCCUCCAUUUCGCCAAUCGCCCCCACCCAUCCACCCCGCUCUCCCUCUCCCGUGUUUUGUCAGUUUUGCAGUAAAAUGAAUUUGAAUCUUGGGUUCUUUGCCAUCUUAUAAAUGCCUUCCAACAUCCUUGCCAUUAUCACGUCUUAUGCCCAUGUUGCCAGCUCAGUACUGCCCAGGUUGACGUAUGAAACGUCAACGCCCCACACCGAUAGCAGUUUAUGUAGAUAGAAGAAAAUUAAUUAGAUGUUAUGUCUCGAUCAUGUUUAACCUCACACAGACACACAUCUGCCCACUUUAUCUUCCGCUGCACGUAACCAUGAAGAAAGUAAGCCUCAUACAGGGGAUCCUUUAGUACAUUUCAUGGCAGUCAAAGCGUUGGGAAUGUUUUAAUGAAUGCUGUCAUAUGUAUGUCAUUUCUGAUGAAUGGAUGUUGUCAGGGGUUUUAUUUUGGCUGAUGUACUCCCACAUGGAAAAUAAUUGAGAGUGUGGAAUCUGAAUGGCUGUGGUAAAAUAGAGAUGGCAUUCACUCAGGUGUUUAUUCGCACAAAGUUUGAGAUUUAUUUUGAUUAACAGGUGCAAGUAAAAUCUGCAUGUUAGAACACUAAAUGUAUAUAAUAGAAACAUUUCUAGUUUGUAAUGUUCUGUGAAGGUGUCUGUUUGUCUGUUGAUUUCUGCAUCCUACAUUUAAUUUUUUGGUGUAUUAUAUGUUCCUCCUUUUUAUUUUCUGUGUAAGUUUUCUGCCUAAAGUGAGCUGAUUUGCCCUGCUAUGGCGAAACUCUUGGUAAUUCGUUACCAAGAAGCACUAAACAAUGACCCAGUUAGUUUGUCUAUACUCUGUUUGGCUUUGCCAGCACACCAGAAUGAGGCAGGGCAGGUCCUUGAAGUAUGUAAAAUUAUUUCCCCUGACUUUACUAUAAUAGUGCCGACACUUAAUCUUUAUUUGUCUGAGACUGACCCUCUAAGGAUGCAUUUGUGGAAGUGAGCAUGUUAAGAGAAUAUUCCAAGGUUAUUCUGUGGACAGCAUGAGACCCUCCCUAUUUUCCAGCUUGAGUUGAUGGUAAAAUGCAGCUCGGCAGUUGAAAUGAAUAGAUCAUUGCGUGUCGGAUGUGCAAUAACACACUUUAUAUUUGAAAGUAUGCUGUAGUGUUUUUAAAUCUGAAGCCUGCAAUUUUGUAUUUCCCAUGUUUGACUGAUGCUGUUUUUGUGAAUUUGUAUGUGUUCUUUGUCACAGGAUAGUGAAGACGAGCAGAGAUGGUGUG
Long non-coding RNA from Triplophysa dalaica, 3584 nucleotides. RefSeq lists it as uncharacterized. The transcript is spliced from 3 exons. NCBI's taxonomy places the organism in Eukaryota, Metazoa, Chordata, Actinopteri, Cypriniformes, Nemacheilidae. The record is from RefSeq and is a predicted model, not a curated record.